GACGAACGCUGGCGGCGUGCCUAAUACAUGCAAGUAGAACGCUGAAGGAGGAGCUUGCUCUUCUGGAUGAGUUGCGAACGGGUGAGUAACGCGUAGGUAACCUGCCUGGUAGCGGGGGAUAACUAUUGGAAACGAUAGCUAAUACCGCAUAAGAGUAGAUGUUGCAUGACAUUUACUUAAAAGGUGCAAUUGCAUCACUACCAGAUGGACCUGCGUUGUAUUAGCUAGUUGGUGGGGUAACGGCUUACCAAGGCGACGAUACAUAGCCGACCUGAGAGGGUGAUCGGCCACACUGGGACUGAGACACGGCCCAGACUCCUACGGGAGGCAGCAGUAGGGAAUCUUCGGCAAUGGACGGAAGUCUGACCGAGCAACGCCGCGUGAGUGAAGAAGGUUUUCGGAUCGUAAAGCUCUGUUGUAAGAGAAGAACGAGUGUGAGAGUGGAAAGUUCACACUGUGACGGUAUCUUACCAGAAAGGGACGGCGAACUACGU
RNAcentral lists this ribosomal RNA (494 nucleotides) under uncultured bacterium. Its description in RNAcentral is "partial 16S ribosomal RNA". It matches the Rfam family "Bacterial small subunit ribosomal RNA", at positions 28 to 506 of the family's 1533-position model. The record is from RNAcentral.